GUAGGGAAUAUUGGGCAAUGGUCGGAAGACUGACCCAGCCAUGCCGCGUGCAGGAAGACGGCCCUCUGGGUUGUAAACUGCUUUUAUCUGGGAAGAAAAAGGCCAUGCGUGGCAAAUUGCCGGUACCAGAUGAAUAAGCACCGGCUAACUCCGUGCCAGCAGCCGCGGUAAUACGGAGGGUGCGAGCGUUGUCCGGAUUUAUUGGGUUUAAAGGGUGCGUAGGCGGCUGAUUAAGUCAGCGGUGAAAGACUUCGGCUUAACCGGAGCAGUGCCGUUGAUACUGGUUGGCUUGAGUGUCGGAGGGGUACAUGGAAUUGAUGGUGUAGCGGUGAAAUGCAUAGAUACCAUCAGGAACACCGAUAGCGAAGGCAUUGUACUGGCCGACAACUGACGCUGAUGCACGAAAGUGUGGGGAUCGAACAGGAUUAGAAACCCGGUAGUCC
This 443-nucleotide ribosomal RNA is filed under the name uncultured bacterium. Its description in RNAcentral is "partial 16S ribosomal RNA". It matches the Rfam family "Bacterial small subunit ribosomal RNA", at positions 354 to 796 of the family's 1533-position model. The record is from RNAcentral.